This 190-nucleotide unclassified non-coding RNA is filed under the name uncultured fungus. RNAcentral describes it as "sequence contains ITS1". The record is from RNAcentral. Lineage: Eukaryota; Fungi.
GUUUUUGUUUAAUUUUCCUGUCAACGCGCAAACAUAUUAUGGACGAAUGUAGCACACACGAACGGUCCUUGCAGACACGCCCAUGCAGCGCACACGACAGCAUCGCUGCUGCCGACCAAAUUGAGCAGCAAUCAAAAUUACCACCCCACCCAACUCUCUAGUGAUCCUUCCGCAGGUUCACCUACGGAAA